UAAAAACCCCGACUUCGGAAGGGGUGUACUUAUUAGAUACAAAACCAAUGCCCUUCGGGGCUCUUUGGUGAUUCAUGAUAACUAUACGAAUCGCACGGCCUUGCGCCGGCGAUGGUUCAUUCAAAUUUCUUCCCUAUCAACUUUCGAUGUUUGGGUAUUGGCCAAACAUGGUUGCAACGGGUAACGGAGGGUUAGGGCUCGACCCCGGAGAAGGAGCCUGAAAAACGGCUACUACAUCCAAGGAAGGCAGCAGGCGCGCAAAUUACCCAACCCCGACUCGGGGAGGUAGUGAAGUAGAUACUGCUAUAGGGACCUUUAUGGACCCAAUUUGGCCUUAAGAAUUAUUUAAGUUCCAUUUAGAACCCUUAACAAGGGACUUAUUGGUGGCAAGUCUUAUGUAUGAAACUGAUAUAAUACCGCUCCAUAAAAGAAUUCUAUCAUAAAUGCAAUAUUAAACACGAGGCUCAAAAAAUAGCCGAAAAAAGAGGAAAAAAAAAAAUAAAAAAUACAAUUUAGCCUAUCAAAAUAGAGUAUAAAAAAAAAAAAAAUACAAUAAGUAAAAGAGCAGUAAAUAAA
This 576-nucleotide ribosomal RNA is filed under the name uncultured eukaryote. RNAcentral describes it as "partial 18S ribosomal RNA". The stretch from base 1 to 294 matches the Rfam family "Eukaryotic small subunit ribosomal RNA", at positions 174 to 472 of the family's 1831-position model. The record is from RNAcentral.